This 701-nucleotide ribosomal RNA is filed under the name uncultured Lachnospiraceae bacterium. Its description in RNAcentral is "bacterial SSU rRNA". It matches the Rfam family "Bacterial small subunit ribosomal RNA", at positions 65 to 775 of the family's 1533-position model. Lineage: Bacteria; Bacillati; Bacillota; Clostridia; Lachnospirales; Lachnospiraceae. The record is from RNAcentral.
AUUAAGAUGAAGUUUUCGGAUGGAAUCUUGAUUGACUGAGUGGCGGACGGGUGAGUAACGCGUGGAUAACCUGCCUCACACUGGGGGAUAACAGUUAGAAAUGACUGCUAAUACCGCAUAAGCGCACAGUGCCGCAUGGCAGUGUGUGAAAAACUCCGGUGGUGUGAGAUGGAUCCGCGUCUGAUUAGCCAGUUGGCGGGGUAACGGCCCACCAAAGCGACGAUCAGUAGCCGACCUGAGAGGGUGACCGGCCACAUUGGGACUGAGACACGGCCCAAACUCCUACGGGAGGCAGCAGUGGGGAAUAUUGCACAAUGGGCGAAAGCCUGAUGCAGCGACGCCGCGUGAGUGAAGAAGUAUUUCGGUAUGUAAAGCUCUAUCAGCAGGGAAGAAAAUGACGGUACCUGACUAAGAAGCCCCGGCUAACUACGUGCCAGCAGCCGCGGUAAUACGUAGGGGGCAAGCGUUAUCCGGAUUUACUGGGUGUAAAGGGAGCGUAGACGGCGAAGCAAGUCUGAAGUGAAAACCCAGGGCUCAACCCUGGGACUGCUUUGGAAACUGUUUUGCUAGAGUGUCGGAGAGGUAAGUGGAAUUCCUAGUGUAGCGGUGAAAUGCGUAGAUAUUAGGAGGAACACCAGUGGCGAAGGCGGCUUACUGGACGAUAACUGACGUUGAGGCUCGAAAGCGUGGGGAGCAAACAG